This 497-nucleotide ribosomal RNA is filed under the name uncultured bacterium. RNAcentral describes it as "partial 16S ribosomal RNA". It matches the Rfam family "Bacterial small subunit ribosomal RNA", at positions 28 to 523 of the family's 1533-position model. The record is from RNAcentral.
GAUGAACGCUGGCGGCGCGCUUAACACAUGCAAGUCGAACGAAGCACUUUACUUGAUCUUUUCGGAGUGAUUGUUUUGUGACUGAGUGGCGGACGGGUGAGUAACGCGUGGGUAACCUGCCUCACACAGGGGGAUAACAGUCGGAAACGGCUGCUAAUACCGCAUAAGCGCACAGUACCGCAUGGUAGGGUGUGAAAAACUCCGGUGGUGUGAGAUGGACCCGCGUCUGACUAGCUAGUUGGCAGGGCAACGGCCUACCAAGGCGACGAUCAGUAGCCGACCUGAGAGGGUGACCGGCCACAUUGGGACUGAGACACGGCCCAAACUCCUACGGGAGGCAGCAGUGGGGAAUAUUGCACAAUGGGGGAAACCCUGAUGCAGCGACGCCGCGUGAGCGAAGAAGUAUUUCGGUAUGUAAAGCUCUAUCAGCAGGGAAGAAGAAAUGACGGUACCUGUCUAAGAAGCACCGGCUAAAUACGUGCCAGCAGCCGCGGUAA